UACGUAGGGUGCAAGCGUUGUCCGGAAUUAUUGGGCGUAAAGAGCUCGUAGGCGGUUUGUCGCGUCUGCCGUGAAAGUCCGGGGCUCAACUCCGGAUCUGCGGUGGGUACGGGCAGACUAGAGUGAUGUAGGGGAGACUGGAAUUCCUGGUGUAGCGGUGAAAUGCGCAGAUAUCAGGAGGAACACCGAUGGCGAAGGCAGGUCUCUGGGCAUUAACUGACGCUGAGGAGCGAAAGUAUGGGGAGCGAACAGG
RNAcentral lists this ribosomal RNA (253 nucleotides) under uncultured bacterium. RNAcentral describes it as "partial 16S ribosomal RNA". It matches the Rfam family "Bacterial small subunit ribosomal RNA", at positions 524 to 776 of the family's 1533-position model. The record is from RNAcentral.